This 74-nucleotide transfer RNA is filed under the name Blochmannia endosymbiont of Colobopsis nipponica. RNAcentral's name for it is "tRNA-Val". It matches the Rfam family "tRNA". Rfam says of the family: Transfer RNA (tRNA) molecules are approximately 80 nucleotides in length. Their secondary structure includes four short double-helical elements and three loops (D, anti-codon, and T loops). Lineage: Bacteria; Pseudomonadati; Pseudomonadota; Gammaproteobacteria; Enterobacterales; Enterobacteriaceae. The record is from RNAcentral.
GCGUUCUUAGCUCAGUCCGGUAGAGCACUAUCUUGACGUGAUAGGGGUCGAUGGUUCGAAUCCAUUAGAACGCA